AGCCCUCAUCUGUCUUAUACGAAUGCAGCUUCAGGAGAGAUUUGCCAGGGGAAAUUUGGCAGCUUGUAGCAGAGAAUCUGGCCCAACAUCUAUUCUUUUUUCCAGCAUGAAACAAGCUGUUACUGUUAUUCCACCUUUCACCCCAGGAAAGACGUGUAGCUACCUUAUAGUUUGACACGUUCUGCAGCGGAUCUAUGGCACAGUGUUGAAGAAACACGCACUUCAUUGCCUCUCGUGACAGCCGCAGCCCGAUCCCUACAGCAGAGAAGACUCCACAGGAUACAAUGAUCUGUAUAAGCUCCUUGUUGAUGUUAUCAAAGACAUUAUCCCACCAAAGAACAUCAAGGUGAGACAUCUCGUUGUCAAAGCCAGCCUGGAGGAUACAACCGAUCCUUCAUGCAGUGUAACUUAAUCCAGAAUUGACUUUCUGGUGCCCACCUUAUUUUUUUAAAACACUGUAAAUAAGUUUUGGGGUUUUCAGAUCUGCUUUUCCCAUGCAUU
Molecule: long non-coding RNA, 501 nt
Organism: Alligator mississippiensis (American alligator)
Lineage: Eukaryota; Metazoa; Chordata; Crocodylia; Alligatoridae
Exons: 3
Source: RefSeq, a predicted model, not a curated record